Molecule: ribosomal RNA, 468 nt
Filed under: uncultured bacterium
Lineage: Bacteria
Description: partial 16S ribosomal RNA
Rfam family: Bacterial small subunit ribosomal RNA
Source: RNAcentral
GACGAACGCUGGCGGCGUGCUUAACACAUGCAAGUCGAACGGAAAGGCCCUGCUUUUGUGGGGUGCUCGAGUGGCGAACGGGUGAGUAACACGUGAGUAACCUGCCCUUGACUUUGGGAUAACUUCAGGAAACUGGGGCUAAUACCGGAUAGGAGCUCCUGCUGCAUGGUGGGGGUUGGAAAGUUUCGGCGGUUGGGGAUGGACUCGCGGCUUAUCAGCUUGUUGGUGGGGUAGUGGCUUACCAAGGCUUUGACGGGUAGCCGGCCUGAGAGGGUGACCGGCCACAUUGGGACUGAGAUACGGCCCAGACUCCUACGGGAGGCAGAAGUGGGGAAUAUUGCACAAUGGGCGGAAGCCUGAUGCAGCAACGCCGCGUGCGGGAUGACGGCCUUCGGGUUGUAAACCGCUUUCGCCUGUGACGAAGCGUGAGUGACGGUAAUGGGUAAAGAAGCACCGGAUAACUACGUG